AUGCGUAUACAUUGGUAGUACGCAAAUAACAAAAUGUCGUAAAAACUACAAACUAAAUCAUACUAAAAUCAAAAUUUUAGUGUUUCGACAGUGAUUCUUCAACGACCAACGACGAACAUUCUGGAAACAAAGAACAUAUAUAUCUUCAAGAACAAAGAAAACUUUACGGAGUUAUAAAAACUGCAGACCUAAUAAAUGGCGAAAACGGAUUACUUCUCAAAAUGAUUCAAUCAAAAGCUGCUUUUAUAAGACAAAGGUUGAGUGGGUUCGUAAAUGAAGAUGAGGGGAUUCGCUAAUUGUAGCAGAAGAAGAAGCCUAAAGUUUAGAAUUUUGCAUUAAUUUUAAAUUAGGUGUUGUUUUUUUAAAUUUUUCCUUUACCUUUCGUGAAGGUUAUUUUGAUCGGUAUUUAGUUUUAUCAUUUUUUUUACGUCUUGAUAUAUACCGGGUGUCUGGAAAAUGGCGGAUUAACGCUCU
Long non-coding RNA from Zophobas morio, 474 nucleotides. RefSeq lists it as uncharacterized. Lineage: Eukaryota; Metazoa; Arthropoda; Insecta; Coleoptera; Tenebrionidae. The transcript has 3 exons. The record is from RefSeq and is a predicted model, not a curated record.